AGCAGCCGCGGUAAUUCCAGCUCCAAUAGCGUAUAUUAAAGUUGUUGCAGUUAAAAAGCUCGUAGUUGAAUUUCGGGGUCAGUAGAUUGGUCGUGCCACUGGUAUGUACUGGUCUUACUGGCUCCUCCUUCCUGAUGAACCGUAAUGCCAUUAAUUUGGUGUUGCGGGGAGACUGGACUGUUACUUUGAAAAAUUAGAGUGUUUAAAGCAGGCUAACGCUUGAAUACAUUAGCAUGGAAUAAUGAAAUAGGACGUUCGAUCUUUAUUUUGUUGGUUUCUAAGAUUGACGUAAUGAUUAAUAGGGAUAGUUGGGGGCAUUAGUAUUCAAUUGUCAGAGGUGAAAUUCUUGGAUUUAUUGAAGACUAACUACUGACGAAAGCAUUUGCCAAGGAUGUUU
This 397-nucleotide small RNA is filed under the name uncultured Glomus. RNAcentral's name for it is "SSU rRNA". It matches the Rfam family "Eukaryotic small subunit ribosomal RNA", at positions 569 to 969 of the family's 1831-position model. Lineage: Eukaryota; Fungi; Glomeromycota; Glomeromycetes; Glomerales; Glomeraceae. The record is from RNAcentral.